UGGGGAAUAUUGCACAAUGGGCGCAAGCCUGAUGCAGCCAUGCCGCGUGUAUGAAGAAGGCCUUCGGGUUGUAAAGUACUUUCAGUCGGGAGGAAGGUGGUAAGGUUAAUAACCUUAUCAAUUGACGUUACCGACAGAAGAAGCACCGGCUAACUCCGUGCCAGCAGCCGCGGUAAUACGGAGGGUGCAAGCGUUAAUCGGAAUUACUGGGCGUAAAGCGCACGCAGGCGGUCUGUCAAGUCGGAUGUGAAAUCCCCGGGCUCAACCUGGGAACUGCAUUCGAAACUGGCAGGCUAGAGUCUUGUAGAGGGGGGUAGAAUUCCAGGUGUAGCGAUGAAAUGCGUAGAGAUCUGGAGGAAUACCGGUGGCGAAGGCGGCCCCCUGGACAAAGACUGACGCUCAGGUGCGAAAGCGUGGGGAGCAAACAGG
Molecule: ribosomal RNA, 429 nt
Filed under: Chloroflexota bacterium
Lineage: Bacteria; Bacillati; Chloroflexota
Description: Chloroflexi bacterium partial 16S ribosomal RNA
Rfam family: Bacterial small subunit ribosomal RNA
Source: RNAcentral